This 21-nucleotide non-coding RNA is filed under the name Caenorhabditis elegans. Lineage: Eukaryota; Metazoa; Nematoda; Chromadorea; Rhabditida; Rhabditidae. The record is from RNAcentral.
UCUGAAGUUUUCUUCCGAAGA